This 419-nucleotide unclassified non-coding RNA is filed under the name Hevea brasiliensis (rubber tree). The record is from RNAcentral. Lineage: Eukaryota; Viridiplantae; Streptophyta; Magnoliopsida; Malpighiales; Euphorbiaceae.
UAUCAUAUUUGGAAUUACACUCCGCCUUCUAAAUCAUAAUUAUUAUUCAACAAUUUGUAAUCUCUUCAUUUUCAUGGCGUCCUUUUACUCUGUUACAGCACCACUGCUCUCCUUCCUUAAUUUCCUCUUCUUAUUCUCUACCUCCGCCGGUAACCACUACAGCCAUUCACCUAUUUCGAAGCCUAAUUCCUUCUCAUCAUCAUCCAUUCCGGUUGAGAUUCAAGAAGCUUGCAAGGCCUCACGUGACCCUCCAACAUGCCAGGCUGUAUUGGUAUUGGUCCAGCCAAAACAGUUAACUAUUCCCCAAAUCAUCCAAUCAGCCUUGGAAGUCUCUUCCCAGAACCUCAACCAGGCUCAGUCCAUGGUGAAGAAUAUCCUCGAUGUUUCCACAGGAAAUAUAAACCGUACAAACGCAGCAA